GAUUCUUCAGGUUUUAGAUAUCCUCUUGCCGCAUACUUCUUCCCCCAAUUCUUUUUGUCUCGGGCCUCGUUCUUAUGAGAAACCCGUAGAUCUAAUUUCUUGCGAGGCCAAUCGAAUUCCAUUCAUGAGCCAAAACAUAGAUUUAGAUUCCUGGUCCGACAGCCUACGUGCCUGGCCAAAUCGUCUCGAGGGCUGGGUCACCUGGUAUAAUAGAGUAGCAAAGGUCUACCAGCCCACAUGGAAGACCAUAGGGAUAGUCGAUGCUCUGUCUUUGUCUUUAUCCCCUCUUGAGAAGAACGAGAACCUCCUGAAAACCAUCAGCUACUUUUGGUCCGAUGCCUUGAACUGCUUCCUAUUUGGUCAUGGACCGAUGAGUCCAACCCUCCUAGACGUAGUGAUGAUCACUGGUUUUGACAUCUCAUCAUCCUGCCCCCUCUGCCUACAAACUGUCUGAAGUCCCCUUCAAGUUGUCCUCCAAAAUAGAGUGCACAAACAGGGGUGCAUACCUGAUCCAGCACCUAAAAACCAAAGGCCAUGUGACUGAAAGGGAACACACAACCUUCCUGAAUCUUUGGUUGGAACACUUCUUAUUUUGUGGUCCUUCCCUUGCCCCAACCAAGAAUUAUCUUCCCCUGGCAUACGAACUGGCCAAAGGUAACACUGUUGGCCUUGGCAAGUUGUUCCUUAGGGAAGUCUGCAGACACCUCCACCUGAUGUCCUUGAGCCUACUUUCCCAGAAGAAACUUAGGACCGGUGGUCCCUAGUGGUUCAUCCAAUUGUGGGCUCACCUAUACUUUCUGGACUUCAUCCCAAACUUCCCUGUUAUGGCCGAUAACUCUUUUCCAGAUAAAAGUGGGAGGCAGAUCAGAUGUACCAGCUUCGGCUAGGCUUUGUAUAGCCUUCCUGGCAGUAAGUUGAAUCCCUCAAAUGCUUCAAACUGGUUUAGGAUUUUCUAUAAGGGCCUGAACAACCCUAUUUUCCUUCCCUAUACUGAUUCUAAAAUUUUUGAGAACCCAGUCACCUUUAGAUUGGCUGAUUUUGCCGAUGAUGACGGCACUCGGCAUCUAUAUUCUAUCGUGAUCCUCCCUUGCCUCCUUUCAGUCGGCAUGAGCGCCUCCAACCGGAUCAUCAAGCCAGGAUAUGAGUUCUAUCAGCCAGUCGUAGCAGCCUGGCAGUUUGGCCUCGGGCAAGUUCCUCCUCACUUCUUCCUUCAUCAUUUGACAACAAACAGAGCCGAUCUGCCCGACGUCAUCACCACCCAAAGAUGCUACAGCCUAUUUUCAGAUCUUCUCAUCCCAAUCCCUAUUGACCUGUCGUUCACCUCUUCGGCCAUCAACUUCGAGAACUGGUGGUCAUUGUGGAAGACUCAUGUCUUCUGAAAAGCCCUAGGGCUGAUAUUGCAGCAGAUUCACGCUGAGUAUGAAGUCCCUGAGGAAUAGGUAUUACUAUCAAUUUAAUGCUUUCCUCCUGACUUUGCUUGAUUCCUUCUCUAAUUCCAUUUGCUCUUUCUAUAGCAGGAAGAUGAUCUGGAGCCCAGGAAUGAUGACGGCUCCACCUUCCAGUUCUCACUGAUCGCCCCCAUGGUCCUUUUCGGUAGAAACGCGCCUCCCCCGUCAAAGGCCAUUAUGCGGAUCCAGUCUGGCUCUGCAAAAUUAACUCCCAAGCGGAAGCGGUCUUCUGAUAUUGCUGCACCCCGAGCCCAAACUAAGGCGAGGAAGAUGAUUGUUAGGAAAGUUCGGAGCGAAGCUGGGCGAUCUUCCACCACUCAAGAAGUUCCGAUCACUAGCCAGGUUUAGAUCGCUCCUCUUAUAAUUAAUCCUCUAAACAUGUAUAUUUUGACUUGAUUGCUCUUUCCUUUCUUGUAGGCCGAUGUCGUAGAUAUUUCUAGUGGGGAAGAGCCCGUACGCCAAGAAAAUCCAACUCUGGAGGCCCAGAGGAUCCUUUGAUGAUGGUCAACACCUUAGUCAACCUUCAGGAUCCCAUCCCGAAGACUACAGAGAACCCCACGAUGCCAGUUGAUGCUUCGUUCAGCCUUUAGGAUCUGCAGGAGCCGAUCGUUGCCGCGUCGGAUGUUGGUCACUCUAUGCAGGAGCCGAUUGUCACCUCGUCGGCUAUCAGUCCUCCUCCAGAAAGAGCGCGCCUGCAAGAGCCAAUCGUUGAUUCAUCGGCUGUCACUCCUCCUCAAGAAAGGGUGCGUCCUCAGGAGCCGAUCAUCACUUCAUCGGCUGUCAUUGCUCCUCCUCCAGAACAGGUAUAUUUUAUCAUCGAGUCGUUUGCAUCUUCUUUUCUCUAUGCCGCACUAAUCUUAUGUCUUCUUUAAGGGUCUGAACCUCUCAAACUUACUUUCAUUCGACUCUGCAUCAGUGGGCUUGGCCAUACUAGAAGUCAAUGAUCAUCAGCAAGAUUCGACCGGUGUUGCCAGCCAACUUCUCCGCGUGAAGGGCCUUUUGUCAGCUCCGAUUGACGGCUUGGUCCAGGAUUCCGACACAGAGAGGCAGAUUCUUGAGGAGAUCAAAUCUCAACUUCUGGAAGUCCUUCAGAUCAAGCUCUGGCCAACCAGGCACCUCCCUUUCUUUCAGGCAAGGGUAGAACAAGCUUGGCACAGAAUUGAAGCUCGUCGCUCUCAAGCCCCCUUGAAGGCUGACAUUGCCGAGAGGUGCCGAUUGCUUAACGAGAAGAAGGCGACUCUGGACGCCAAGGCUGAUACAUUUGUGCACUCUCGAAGGCUUCAACUUCUGGAGAAGGAAUUAGAGGACCUCAAGGCUAAGGUCCGGGCAACCGAGCAGCGCAUCCAGGAAGAGAAGAACCUUAUUGCCAGCUCCGAACGAGAAGCAGAAGAUUUGACCGCCCAAUUGAAGGUAGAACUCGCAGAGCUGAGCGCUUUGAGUAGGUAGGUGGUGUAGGGAGAGGACAAGGAUUAUGAAGCAGUGAUUGCUGAAGCUGAUCGCGUCCGUCUUGAGGCCAUCGCCGCUAUUGACGAGUUCCUUCAGUAGACUUCCUUGUAGUCACCCUUUGUAAGAUAAACCUGCAUGUAUCUGUAUUAAGAUUCUAAAAUCAAUGGUUGUACAUCGGCUUUUCGACCAACUCAAUGCGUUGGGAACAAAGUACUUCUUUUUUUAUAUAUAUGUGGGCCGACUGCACGUAUCGACCAUCUUUCCUUAUGCCUAGCCUGACGUGUAACAUUGGCUUUCACCUGUACGAGUCAUCAGGUCCUGUCGGCUCAUAUCCUACCGCGUAGCGUUGGCUUUCUCUUGUACAAGCCAACGGAUCGUAUCGGUUCAUAGCCUGAUGCGUAGCAUCGGCUUUAUUGCUCAUCAUCCCACAUACUUGGGAAGUACCUCUUGAGAUGUUGACCAUUGACCGCCACCAGAAACUUGACGCCAUCUAACUCCUCAAGCAUAUAUGCGUUUUCAGAUAGGACUUGGUCAACCCUAUAAGGCCCGUGCCAGAUUGGAGACUAUUUCCCAUAUGCUGCAUCUUUUGUCCCCAAUGGUAGCACCGCUUCCCAAAUUAGAUCUCCAACUUGGAAUUCUUUUAGCUUAAAUUUUUAAUUGUACGCGCGGGCUACUUUGGCCUUAUUUUCUUUGAUCUUCUCAAGUGACCAAAGUCUGAGCUUCGUGAGGUCCUCAACAUUAUCAUUCAUCAGAGUAGCAUACUCUUCAGCUGUUAAGUUAUUUUAGAACUCUAUGCGCCUCGAGCCGACCGUAAUUUCCCAUGGUAAUACAGCCUCCUAUCAAUACACUAGGUGAUAAGGAGAAGUUUUUGUUGCUCCAUGGCAUGAAAUACGGUAUGCCCACAAUGCCUCUGAUAAGACCUCAUACCAAUGCCUAGGAUAUUCAUCGAUCUUUCUCUUGAUCAACCUGAUAAGGCUCUGGUUGGACGCUUCAGCUUGUCCAGUUGCUUGGGCAUAAUAUGCCAACUCCUCUGAAAGGAAGACCGAACCUCCAUCUUUUGUAAUGGUCUGAGGAAUCCCAAACCUGUGAAUGACAUGCUCUUUAACAAAAUUAAUGACGUCCUUGAUGCUACCGACUUCAUGGGAACUGCCUCCACCCACUAGGUAAAGUAAUCUGUGAUGGCCAAAAUAAACUGGUGGCCUUUGCUAGAUGGAGGAUUAAUUUUGCCGAUCAUGUCCAUGCCCCAGCCUCUGAACGGCCACGGUUUGACGAUAGGGUUCAUUACUGACAUUGGUACCAUCUGAAUCUUCCCGAACCUCUGAUAUAUCUGACAUCCUUUAUAAUAUUUGAAGCAAUCUUCAAGCAUGGUGGGCUAGUAAUACCCCGAUCGCGUAAUUAGCCACUUCAUCUUAUGAGCCGAUUGGUGAGUCCCAUAGGUGCCUUCGUGGACUUCGUGUAAAAGCCGAUUGGAUUCAAUCGGCCCCAAGCAUUUGAGCAGCAAACCUUCUAAAUCUUAUAGAACAUAUCAUCUCCUAUCAGGACGUACCUCAUGGCCUUGUAACGUAUCCUCUUGGGUGCCCCCUGAGCCGAAUCCUUCAAGUAAUUGAAGAUAUCGGCUCUCCAAUCUCCUUGGUCCAACAGAUGUACCUGAAGAUCGGCUCUAUCCGCCACAACUUUGUAUCCCGAAGACAUCUGUGCCAAAUCAUUGGCCUCUGAAUUUUGUGUCCUAAGUAUCCAAUAGAAAUUUACGUACCUAAAUUGGGCCAUCAGCUCUUGACAUUGUACCCAUAACGGGAAGAGCGACUGGCUCUCACACAUGUAUUCCUCUAUGAGCUGGGAGAUCACCAAUUUUGAAUCUCUAAAAAUUUCCACUGCUUCAGCUCCGGCCUCAAGAAGCAACUCCAUACCCUUACGCGCUGCUUCAUAUUCCGCGAGAUUAUUGGUGCAAGCGGUAGGUAAUCUGAUUGAAAAAGAAUACGUUACCCCCCGAGGCAACACAAGCAGGAUACUUAUGCCACAUCCAUCUCCACAAGCUGAUCCGUCAAAGUACAUAGCCCAUGUGCAUACGGAAAGUGCUACUAUGUCAGUAUUGAUCCUUUUUACAAUGAGAUCCGCCAACGCUUGCCCUUUGACCAUCUUUGCGGGUUGGUAUCGGAUAUCGAACUACGACAAUGCAAACAUCCACUUUCCAAGUCAGCCUUUCAACACCGGAACCGAUAUUAUGUGCUUGAUGACAUCCGAUUUGCAGAUGACAAUUGUCUCGGCUGAUAGCAGGAUAUGACGAAGCUUUGUGCAUGUAAAGAAUAGACAAAGACAUAACUUUUCAAUAUCAGGGUACCUUGUCUCCGCAUCUAGCAUUCUUCUGCUAAGGUAGAACACAACCCUUUCUUUGUCGUCAUGCACUUGUAUUACUACUGAAGCGAUGGAGGUGUCACCUACUGAUAAGUACACGUAGAAUGGUCUAUCUUGUUGGGGUGGAACUAACAUGGGUCGUUUUGACAGAUACUCAUUGAUCUCUUCAAACGCUCGUUGCAAUGAGCUACUAGAGCUCCCUCUUUGUAGUAGUUGGCACCAUUGUUCUCACAGCUUCUUGACUCUUUAGACCGAUCUCGAUUCCUCUUUCAUGAACCAAGAAACCCAGAAAUUGACUGGCCAAUACGCCGAAAGCCCGAACCUUCUGGUUCAUUCCAGAACUUGCCGUAGGUCUCCCAAGUGCCCUUCAACCGACGCAGAUUUCAUCACGACGUCGUCAAUACAAAUCUCCACCAACUUGCCGAUUAGGUCGUGGAAAAUGUAGUUCAUGGCACGCUGAUAAGUAGCGCCAGCAUUCUUCAACCCGACAGUCAUAACCACAUAUUCAAACAGUCCUACUGCCCAGGCACUCUGAAUGUGGUCUUGUUUAUAUCCUCCGGAGCCAUGAAGAUCUGGUUAUAGCCGGCGUUGCCAUCCAUGAAACUCAAGAUCUUAUAACCAGCAACUACGUUGAUUAAUGUCUCCGCGACAGGCAUCGGGUAUUCAUCCUUUGGAGUAGCCCUGUUGAGGUCUCUGAAGUCCACACAAACUCUCCAUCGGCCAUCUUUCUUUUGCACAGGUACGGCACUUGAAAUCCACUCGGCAUACCUGUAGGGCCUGAUGAAUCCGGCUUCUAGCAUUUUUUCCACCUCUUUCUUGACUUCCACCAGAACUUCAGCCUUCAUUUGUCGCGCUCGCAGCUGAAAUGGCCGAAAUCCCUUCUUGAGAGGGAGCCGAUGCUCGACUAUGCUCCUGUCUAACCCAGGCAUCUCCGUAUAAUCCCAGGCGAAGCAAUCUGCGUACUCCUUUAGCAAAGCUAUCAUCGGCUCGUAGACACGGGCGUAACUUUUUGCUAACAAAUAUUGGUCGUGGCUUAUCCCCAGUACCAAUAUCCACUUCUUCGAGCUCGUCAGCCGAUGUAAACCCAUAUCCUAAUUUUCCGUCAUCUGUUAAGUCAACGCUGCAGAUGGAUAGAGAAGAUAAUAAAAAGAAUUCCGACCGAAUGUUGAGAUCGGCCGCUUUACAUCCUUUAUUGAUCUUUGAAAUUUUACAAUUGAAGUAUGGCCGGCUGCUAGAGCGGGCCUCCCUGUAACUGCUAUGAUCAUGUAAAACACUUGCCAUCAAAAGAUUACAUUUUAUAUUUUGGGGCCGAUUGCGGGGAUCGGCUUUGCCGAGUGCGUCAGAGCAGCUCGCCCUUUGUGAUUUGUCUACUCUGUGAGGCCAGUGGAUAAGACCAGCCUCAUCCCAUUUUUUGUAGCUUCAAUGCAGUCGCAACCUUCCAAACUGAUCCCUGAGAUCGGCUCUUGGUCUCUCGCAUCCCAGAUGCUCAUGGCGGUAUGUGAGAUCUCGAUCGAGUCAUCUGCAUGAACCAUCUCUACCUCAUCUCCAACCCACUGAAUUAGACAUUGAUGCAUUGUGGAAGGGAUGCAGCAAUUGGCAUGGAUCCAAUCCCUACCAAGUAGGACAUUGUAUGUACUCUUGCUGUUGAUGAUGAAGAAAGAGGUUGGGACCAUCUUGUUUCCAACGGUCAGAUCCACACUAAGGACGCCUUGUGCCUCUGAUGUUUGGCCGUUGAAAUCGCUCAGCAUGACGUUAGUCUUGAUCAGAUCUCCAGUGGACCGCCUCAACCAACGCAGCACUGAGUACGACAUUAUGUUAAGUGCCGCUCCUGUGUCGACCAACAUCUUGUUGACAGGCUAGCCGUUUAUGUAACACUUGAGACAUAAAGCCUUCAGAUGGUUGUAGUUCUUUGCUCGAGGCUUCUCAAAUAUAACUGGCCGCGGCCCCAAGUCAAGCUGGGCUACCGAUAACUCUUCACGGCCUCAAGCAUGGAACUCCGUGGGGAGUACAAACACCAUAUGUGCAUCAGCCGAUGUCUUCGUAUCGGCUCUUGUUGGUUUUGGACGCCACUCCUUCUUGGGAGGGCGCGACUCCCUUUUCUGGGUGUAAUGGACUUUAUCCGCCAAAUCCGGAUGCGUCUUCCUCAGUGUCUCAAGAUAUCUGGCUUCGGCCUCCUCCAGGCUGCGCAGCCGCUGUACCCUGCGUUUCUGGGAACGGUUAAGCCCAUCAGGGCACCAGCACGGCUGGUGAUAUUUAUCCUCCUCUUCUUCAAAGUCCACCCUUCUUUGUGGUGGCUGAAUCUGUUCUUGCUGGGACGGCACAGGUCCCAAACGUCAAAAAAUUGAGACCCCUUCUGCAUCACGCUUUCAGGAUCCGCACUCUGGGCAAUCCUUAGUAGUAGGCAAGCGGCUCAUGCCAGAGUCUCAGCAAUACUUGAAGAACGGGCAAUGCCAAUGAUCACGCGUGUCUUCUGGCUUCUUCAAACUUUUCCCAGUAUGGCGUUCAUGCUCUUCUUCCUCCGACUCACACUGGAGACGUUGCUGGUACUGGUACUCGUACUUUUUGAGGAGAUCGGAAGAAGCUGGCCGAUGAUUCUUGACAUGCCUUAUUUGUUCUUCCGUGAUAUAUCCCUUUUCCCCUUUUUGGGGCCAAUCGCAGGGAUCGGCCUCUUCAUUCCUGGUGCAGCGGCAUGGUGCAAGCCCUGCCAUGUUAAUACCGAGCGCGAAAUCUAAUUGUCACCUCGCAGACCGGUCACAACCUUCCACCAUAUUCACACUUGGGAAAGACUGGGUAUCGACCUUGAUGGCAGUUUGACCCAAAAUCAAUCGGCCUUGCUUGAUAGCCUAUUGGAUCUGCCGAUGGAGUUCUUUGCAGUCGCUAGUGCUGUGAGUGAAAGAGUGAUGCCAUUUGCAAUAUGAUCUCCCCUGCAGCUCCUGUGCUGUAAGAAGCUUGCAGCCUUCAGGUAGCUUCAACUGCUUCUCCUUCAAUAACAGAUCAAAUAUCUGUUCAAAACUUUACUCACAUCGAAGUUAAAACCUUUCGCAGGUCCCCGCUGUUUCACCCACUUACAGGACACGGGAUUUGCCCCCCUAGUCCAUUCUGCAACUGCUACUUCCUGGUCAUCCUCAGAAUCCUCAGCGUCUUCUAUGUCGAUCAAUGUCACUUGAUACUUGAACCUAUCCUAGUAUAGUUCUGGGUGGCGCUGCUCAUAUGUUGUCAACUUUUGCACCAAGUGCGCCAUAGAAUUGAACUCCAAUCGGAAAGCCAGAUCCUUGAUCGGCUUUAGUAGCCCCAAGGAUGCCUACUCGACCGCCUCCUUCUCUGAAAUACGGGUCGAGUAGCAUCGGUUCUUUACCUCUUUGAAGCGUUGGAUGUGUUCCGCCACGGUUUUCCCACACUUCUGCCGUACUUGUGCCUAGUCAGCAACUCCUGCCUCUGCAGCUUCCGAGUGAUAUUGAAUAUGAAAUUGCUCCUCCAGCUGCUUCCAGGUGUGGAUUGAAUCAGGGCCUAAUGAUGUGUACCAUCCAAAGGCCGGCCCUGUGAGAGACUGCGAGAAAAACCUUACUCGCAAGGGAUCCGACACCAAGAUCAUCCCUAAUUGCACCAAGAAUCAGCUCACGUGCUCGAUGGAGCUAGAUCCUUCCGCUCCACUGAACUUGGUGAACUUAGGAAGCCGAUACUUUGGCGGUAGGGGAAUUAAAUCAUACUCACUGGGAUACGGCUUAGUAUAGCCGAUCGCCCUACUCUUUGGUAGAAUGCCAAAUUGAUCUCUUAGGAUGGUACUAAUCUGGUCUACCGUCUGCGCUCCUGGGGCCGAGUGCAUACUGUCAUGACUCGGCCUGGUGGCAUAACUAGCUAGCCACGCUUGUUUGUCAGCAUCUGCCCUGAAAACUCUUCCAGCUGCCCUCUGCACCGAAUGUACCGGAUUAUAGCUAUCCGGUAUAUAAGCACAUAUAUACCCAUGCGGGAUCUCCUUGGGUGGCUCGCUGAAAAACUGGUGAUCCACAGGGUCACCUCCCACUUUGUAGACGAUGUAGGCCGGCGAGCCGUGUGACUCCGGAGCUGCGAGCACAUAAGGCAGCGGUGGCUUAUCCUAGAAUGGCAAUUCUCCCUUCUGACCCUUCCGACUCCCCAGGGUAGGUCCUGUUGGAGAGUAUUGAUGCUUCAUGAUCUUCUGGGCCACGCGCAGCAGGACACGCUUGAAUGCGUUCACCAGGCUCUCGGAAUGUCGAUGCAGUGAGUGGGCCACCAUGUAGUUUACUUCCUGGCGCAGAGCUCUGGUACAAUUUUCUGAAGGGGUGGACAGAUCCACAUCAUCAAGAGCGCCUUUAGGUGAAAACUCCUUCCACCUAACGCCGUGAUGGCAGGUCUUCUCGAAAGAGCCGAUGAGAUCGGCUUUGAAGAGAGCCUUGAUCUCAUCUAUUUUUGCUUGUGCUCAGCAGGCAGCUCCUCGUACGUGAUCGGAUCCUCCCUCGUCAUGCCGUCAGCAGAGCUCGAUGUAGUUGAUGAAGGUGGUCCCACUGGGUGUGCCAGAAUGUGUUGUCGGUCAAAACUCACCGACGAGCAGCGACAGGCAACACGAGAAGCCGGGAAGCUCCUGGGACUGCUGGUGGGCCCUGAUGCCUCGGUCAACGGCCCGAGAUCCGGCAAACGACCUGGCGUCUGGGUUGCUAGGCGUGCCACCUGACCUUGUACCUGAUCAGGAAGGUGUUAUAUAUUAGUUUCCUGCAUGCACAGACAUGUAUAAACAUUAAUCAGAGCCGUAAUCAGCUCAUCGGGUGAUUCCCGAUAUCGGCUGUAAAGAGCCGAUUGUAUCUCGUAUCAGAUCGGAUCUACAUAUUUGAAUAAAGUACGCAUGUCCGACGGUAAAUAUAAAACUUGCUCUAUAAUCUAUUAGUUAACCCAAUCUACGACGGUCAAAGCUUUCACUGCAUAACCGGAACAUCCUACACGUGAUUGAGCCUAACAGAUACGAAAGUGAACAGAAUAGCAACCUAAACAGCGGCUUAAAAACCAACAGAGAACCGAUUCCCGGAACGAUCCCUCUUUAAGUUGAUAUAAAGCACCAAAUGUACUGCCGGAACAUUCAACCCGUUUGAAGGGCCUAAUCAUGCAGAUAUUAAACUAAAUCUUCGAUGAACAAAGACUAACCAUAACAGAUUGGAUCUACUAAAACAAGAAUAGAGCAAGGUGCUGCCCUUAUACCCGAGAUCGGGCACGAGGAUAGCUGAAGUUUACAGGUAACAAACAAUGCACGAAUAAAGCAUGGAAGAUCCGAUGCUACUCUAUAAACGCCAAGAUAACUAGUGUUACUCGCCAUCAACAAUGCUUCAGUACGAGAAACACAAAGGUAGAUAAGCAGGAAUGAUGCCGCCCAGAUCACGCGAGGCGUGAUCGGGGCUGCACGGCACUUACCCAAGAAACCCUAGAACAGGGGUGGCGAUGCGCCGAGAGUUGUUGGUGAAUGAUUGAUUCUUCUUUAUUCAUAAUCCAAGGUACAUAUUUAUUGUCCGGAGACUUGCCUUCCCUAACCAAUCCUAACUGACCAUGACACGAAUCUUGGCUAUCUCUAUUUAAACUAUUUAAACAUAUAUACCUAUCUAGAUACAUGGCCAACCCUAGCCUCAAACACCCGCGCAAGGGCCGAUUCGCAAGCCCACUACGAUUAUCUUUUGAGCCCAUCUUAAUUCGCGGCCCACCUUUCUGGCCCGGCUAAAUUAUGGCGAUAACAAGGUCGAGUUAGUUGUUCGCCCCAUGCCGUUUUGUUUUCAUUUGAGACUGGAUGGCCGGACUGCUGUCCUCGGUGUCCGUGUCAUGCAAGCCUAACCGUCUGCGUCCCAUAAAAGGUGCAACCGGCUUAAGCCUUCUCUCCCUUCCUUCUCCUUGUGGUCCACUCUCGUGAUCGGCCAGUACCACUGGUCCAGCUUAUCCUGCUCGCCAGCCCGUGCCUCUCUCCUUUUUCGGUCGACCUAUUUUUGCUGUUUGGCCCAUGACCGAACUUACUUUAGCUCAUGACCGAACUCGCUUGGCCAGUCCUGCCAGACCCAAGCUACCAGGUUCCCUGAGUGAACCCUGGCCUCUGUCGUGCAACGAGGACUUGGUACCACCACCGCUAGAGUCCUUGGCGACCACGCCCAGGCAUGUUGCCGCAUCUAUAAAAGGGCGAGCACCCUCAGCCCUGUUCCCUUUCCCUGGUCCGUGCACUAGGCCUCCAUCGCGCCCUCUCCACCUCGCGCAACACGCCAUCGCCCACGCGCAAGGAUGCAGCGUUGCUGCUGGGCCAAGCGCUCGAGUCCCCGCAAGGUUUCUCGGUAGCGCCAAGAUCGAGAGCCGGCCCCGCGUGCCUGCUGCUGUGCCUCCCACUGCGGUGCACGCAUCUGCCCAGCUCGGCCUUGAGCGCCAGCUACCCCUGCACUGUGCGUCAGACCCAACUGCAUCGCCCCUACCCAGCGCCACCACCCUGGAUUGCUCGCCUGUUCCGAGCAGUGCACCGCCGCCUCCGUCUCCAGCGAACUCCAACGGCCAUGGUGCCUCCUCAACAUGGGUAAGUGGUAAAACAGAUUCCCCUCAUCAUCCUCUUUCUUUUCCCUUGCUACCCACUCUCUCUCGUACUCUAAAUCGACGGAAUUUUGGCCGGCAGCAAGGUUCUGUGCGCCAGCCAUGGAGAUGCCCGAUUUGCAGAUUGGCCCCUGACGAAUCCUGUAAUUUUCUAUCUUUUUCCUAUAUCUUACAAAAUCUGCAGAAAACCUCCUCGUAGAUUAGAUCUAUUCAGUCCAGCCCUACCCGCGUUCUUUUUCAGAUCUAACCCUAACUUUGCCCUUUUUGUGAGCACUGUUUCUGGUCUUGUAGAUCUUUAUUGCUAGCCCUCCAGAUCUAUAAUUAAUCGCGUAUAGAUCCCUGCAGCUUUAUUUUUAUAGCGUUCUCGUACUAUAGUUCCUGUUUUAAAUUAAAUAUAAAUUUAAUUUUAUUAAUAUCCUCUCAUCUAGUUUUUCUAAUUAAAAUCCAAUUAAAUCUUUACUCCAUUUUUUUAAUUAAUGUUAACUUGAUUAAUACCAACUUAAAUAAAUCUUCAAUUAUCAUUUGUUAGUUCAACAUGAAUCAUAAAGUUAUACGUUUAGAUGCUGUCACAAAUUUUCUUUGUAGUUAAUUGUUUAAUUAGGAUAAUUUAUACGUAGAUAAUUAUAAAUAAAAUUUGAUUAAGUUCUACAUUAUUUUUAGAAAUGUAAAUAAAAUAUGAGUUAAUAGUAAUCGUGGAUGUUUCUUUUAAAUAUCUUUCAUAUUUGUUUUCUAAUUAAAAUAAAUGAAGAUCAUAGUUCUUUUGUUUUCUUCUAUAACACAAAUCUUCCGAUAGCUGCUUCUUUUGAACCAUAGCUCCGUUUUCUGUGUUUCUUGUGCUCACGUGACUAUGCAACGAGCCCUAUCUUUUAGUACGCUCUUUUAAAGCUUUGCUUUUGUUUGGUGUACCUAUUCUUAGUUGUUCCUGUCAUGUUUGUUUGUUGCUUGUAUGCUUGGGCUUGAUGCUUGUGUGAUGUUAGAAGGAGCACAAUCCAAAAGCUUUUAAGAUUAAGUGUUUAAAAAUAAGAGUUGAAGAUGCUGAGCAGCUAUUCUUCGAAAGAAAGGCAAGUGUUCUUUGAUCAUACUUUUAUCUUAAUAAUCACAAUAAAUAUAACUUUUUUAUGCAUGCAUGUGCCUUAACAUGAUAGAUCCUAAUUAAGGACUAGUCUUUAUGAUCAUUUGUUGUCAAUAUGGGUUUUAUCUUCUUGUUGGGUAGCGCUAGUUUCUUAUGCUCUUGGAAUAUGGUUGGUUACCCCUAAACAAUGAUAUACCUGCUAUCCUUCAUGUUCAUGGAUAAUUUGUGUUGUUAAUCACAAGAUCAUAUGUUUAAUCGGAACAUGGAGAACCACCUAGGAAAAUAGUACAACCACAAUAGUACACCGCUCUGGUCUUGGCUAAUUAAUUAGAAACACUAGCUUAUGACAAUCUUACUGAAAGGGAAAGAGGGGUUGCAUCGUCAGGAUAUAGCUCGGUCCUCUUAAGGCUUUGAUAUGUGGCCUUGGUUAAGGCACUUUCUCAUUAGGGAGAGCUAUGACUGCUUUGACCUGAAAUCUUAUCUGAUCGUCAUAAGUUACUGAAUCUUUAAAAAAGCCUCAUAGUGAAUCUCUUGCCACUCACCUUGGAAGUGUUUAAGAGGCUAGCUACCUCCGGUAAAUCGGGAGACACGGAUUGUGGGUAAAAUGUACAACCUCUGCAGAGUGAAAACUGAUAUAUCAGCUGUGCUCACGGUUAAGAGCGACUUGGACCCUCACAUGAUUAAUGAACUUGAAAAUAAACUAAAUCGUGAACCAGGUUUAUGGUUACCAUUAUGCUUCUAUUGUAUCUCUUCUGUUUCUUUUAAUAUGGGUUGGUAUAAACUUAUACCUUAGUAAUUAGGUGCUAAUAAAAUUUAACCAAAUAAAAUUGCUUAUCGUAGUAAGCCAAUCAGCCUUUCCUUACUUUUAGGCUUCAUGCCAUAUAAUUCCCAACACUUACUGAGUAUCAACCAUAAGUAUACUCACGCUUGUUAUAAUUGAUGCUCAGAAGAGAAAGUUGAUGUGAAAUCUCUUGAAGAUGAUGUUGAGUUCUAGGUUUACGCAACUCCGGAUCGAUUGCUUGUGAUAUUUGAGUCUUCAUUUCCAGAAUAAGCCAUACUAUUACUGAUACUCUUACUUACUGAUUAUUCACUGAUAAAAUCACUAUAUAUAUAAAAUUUGAUCCUAGUAUUAAUAUAGUUAUACAUUCAAUUUUGUCCGUAAAACCGGAUGUGACCGAUUCUCCUCGUGGGUUAAGCGAGGUGGGGCCCAAAAUGUUAGCAGGGUGGCGCGGGGGUCAUCUUCUUUUGUUAAUAUGCGUUCUGUUCGGUUCAGGCACAUCAGCGGGCCGAUGGCACAUUUUUUUUGAAAGAAAGAGGGCCAAUGGCACCGACAAAAUGGAUAAAUAUGCUGCGAUACUUUUGAACUUAGUGACACGAUAACACAUCAAUCAAUUCCGUGGAAAUUCCCCGUAAUGCUACGGAGCAUGCCAAGACGAAACUGUUGACCUGCUGUUUCUCGCAACAGCAAUCAGAGCGGAUGAACAGUGAUUGCGAGGACACAGUAAUAAGUAAAACACACCGACGCCUAGUGACACAACCCUAGCUAGUGGUCUUGAGUUUAUCUCCGGAUUUCUUAUCCAUCUUCCCCAUAAUUUUAGAUUCAAACACCUUUUAUAUUUGAGAUUAUUCGUGCUAUAGUAGCUGAAUGGUUCGCAUGAGGUGAGCAAGCAAGGCUAGCUAGCCAGCUAUAUAUAAUUAUUCCCAUAUAUAAGUGCAACAAAACAGGAUAGAACAUUAAUAUAUUUUAUUUUUAAGGAAAAAUCAACAUAUUUUAAUUGAUAGGGAGACCACUAAGACAUUUCUAUUCUAUGGCUUCAAAAAAAUUUCAUUUUGAUUUCUUCUCUAAAUAGCAAUAACAUUUUUAUUUGUUACCAUUACAAAUUUUGUUGGAACAUUUUCUUUAUUCUAAAAUAUAUUUCUUGAAUUUCUUAUUCGAAUUAUGUGUCCUACCUGCCUUUCCGUUGAACCUAGAGGGCUGAUCUAUUUGUAACACAAAAUAGGCCACCUAUAUUUAGGAUUCCCCUGAUAACACUGGUUACCAAAUGAUACAAAGAGUAAAUUGCAUCAAACAUACAACAUCGUGUGUGAUCGUAUCACUUUGGUCUAAUAAGUUGUAAACCGUGCAAACAGGUACCUGAAGUUGUCACAUGUAUGUGUAUACAGUCACAUGUACACCAUAUAGUAUAUUUUACCCCGGUGGGAGAUCAUAUGGACUAUAACUCAUUAAUAAUAUGAUGUAAUGGGCUAAACAUGUCUUAUCAUAUCUCUAAAAAAUAAUUAUAUAUUUAUGAUCUAGCUAUAAUAGGCUAGACAUAACCUGAACAAAUAACAUGAGCAAAGAGCAACCGUUAAGGAUGAGCAAAGAUCAAUAGGAUAUGAGGUGUGUUGGCAGGAUCAUGUGAUGCAAUUCUUUAAAGGAGUAAACAUUUUGUACCAAAUGUAAACAUUUUGUACCAAUUGGAUAGGAUGUAAACAUUUUGUACCAAAUGUAAACAUUUUGUACCAAUUGGAUAGGAUGUAAACAUUUUGUACCAAAUGAAAAACAAUAUACAUCUAGUAUCUAUUCAAUUGAUCACUAUCAUCUAUAUAAGGAUACUAUAACCAGAACAGAACCGUAAUACUUCAAUCAAAAUAAUGAUAAUCUAGCUAGAAGUGAAACAACAUCCUAUCAGAUCCGAGACCAUGGGACUGCGCGCAUAGCAUAGAAUACUCUAGGAUAAGGGAUGGGGCAUGUCCCAUAUCUUAUGUCUGUUAUAUGCUACUCGGACAUGAGUAGGACUAUUCGGAAUAGAAGAAAACUAUCCCGAAUAGUACUUGGGUAAGACUCUGAAAGCGCAUUUGGCCCCCUAAGUGGGUUUUGAUUUUGAUGACAUACAAAAUUAAGGAGCUAAUGAGAUUAUCAAGCUUUGGACAGGUUAAAACUCACUGAAAUGAAAUAUAUGCGUAAGGAGAUGCCAAUUUUCUUGAUAGACGGUGAUGGAGCUCAAAAGAAGACCUCUAUUUAUUUUCUAUUUUAAAUUUGAGUAUAGGAAAUACCGUACUAUUGAGGGAUGUGAAAAAAUGAUUUGAAGAUGUCAAAGUGCUUAAUUGAGAUGCUAACUAUCCAAGAGAGAAAUAAAAUCACACACUUGUGCCUUAGUUUUCUCACCGACUCAUUGUGUGUCGGAAGUUCCGGCCAUAGGUUGGAAGUUCCGACCCCUGUCGGAAGUUGGUUAAUAGUUCCGAUAGGGGAUCCUCGGUUGGCUGUUUUUAAUGGGGUCGAAGUUCUAACCCUGUGUCGGAAGUUCCGGCAAUCACUUAACCACCACACUAACGCUAGUUUUUGGGGAUCGAGUAUUUAUACCCCUCAACCCCCCCCCCCCCACUUGCUACUGAUUUUUCACGAACACAGCACCUCCACAACCUCCAAAUCCUUCUCCCCAAUCCCUCCAAGAGCUAAUCCUUGAGUUGAUUUGAGAUAGAGCUUGGGUGAGAGCAAGAUUGAGGUAUGAGGCUUGAGCAUUUGAGUGAGAAGGCAGCCACGUUCAUCUCAAGAGCAUUGAAGCAUCUUCAUCCAUCGAUUCGCGUUUGUUAAUCUUGAAGCUUGCUUCAACAUGGUUCCGCGUCACCCGGUUGAGCGUCCUCUCGUGUGAGUGCACCCCAAGAAGUUUGUAUUAUCCAUCUUUUAUAGAUUUGAUAGUAAGUGACUCAAUUCUCCUUUGUGAUUGAUUGAGUGAGGUAAAGGGUUAGUGGAAAACCCAGCUCUUUGUGAGCUCCUCAAUGGAGACGUAGCUUCCUCAGUGGGAGUAAACUUCGGGAACAAAUCUCUUGUGUCUUGUGCUUAUUGCUUUAUUUAGUUCUAGUUGACCUACAGUUGUUUUGUGCCGAUCUACGUAUUCAAGUUGUUGUUCUUGCAAAGUUCACGUGCAGAAGUCUCCUAGCAUCACUACGCAACCUUUAGUUCAGCCAGGUUCUGUAAUUUCAAGUUUACUUUUGAAUUUCACAAAAAGAACUUCAUUUCAUCGGAAGUUCCGAUCAGGUGUCGGAUGUUCCAGUCUAUCGAAACUUCCUACACUGUGUCGGAAGUUCCGACAGAUUUAAUUGUUGAGAAGAAUUUUUUAGGUUUUUGUUAGAUACGCCUAUUCACCCUCCGCCCCUCUAGACUUCACCAAGAUCCUUUCAAUUUGUAUCAAAGUCUAAUCUCUUGAUUAAACCUUAACCGCUAAGGGAUAUCAAGAUGUCUAUAGUUGGGGAUGGUGCCGACGCCGCCACAACCGCCGCUGCUCAAGUCAAUGCCGAUAUCGGGUUCGAUGGUGUCGGGAAUCCCUUUGGGCAAACAAGCCAUCCACCCUCCAUCUACAAUCAAGACUCAAGCUCAAAGUGAUAAAAGUGAGGGCGAGACAUCGGAGGCAAGAAAAAGGAGAAAAGAAAAGAUAAAGGUCAAAAUUGAAAAGAAGGCCGAGAAGUUGAUGAGGAAGAGAUUGAUGGAAGAAAGCAAUAAGCAUCCUUUUUUUGAGUUACAAAAAGUACCUCAUAACUAUGCUCAAUCUCAACAUCCGACUUCUCAAUUUCAAUCGGUCCACUUGGAAAAACCUCUUUUCUUUGAUAAGAUGGAUUAUCCCAAGUGGUCUUAUGAUAUGAAAAUGCACCUCUACAAGCUUCAACCUCUAUUUGGGAAGUUGUUGUUGUAGGUGUGACUCCUUCAACAAAUGGUGUACCCACGGCCGAACAAGCUCAAGACUACUUCCGCAAUGCGCAAGCUGUGAGGGUCAUCACAAGCUCUCUUUGUGCCCAAGAAUUCAAUAAGAUCCGCAAUGUUGAAAUAGCUAAGCAAAUUUGGGACAUAUUGAGAGAAGCUCAUGAAGGAAUCGAUGAAGUUAGAGAGGGCAAGAUGGACUUGUUGUAAGCAGAAUUAGAGCACUUUGUCAAGCAUGAUGAAGAAACCGUGAGGCAAAUGUAUAAUAGACUAAUGAUCCUUGUAUCAGAUAUUAAAUCUCUUGGAAGCACGGAAUGGGAUGAUCACAAAGUGACAAAGAAGUUGCUUAGGGCUUUCACACCAAGGAACCCUACUCUUGCAACAAUAAUUAGAAGAGAUCCAAAAUUCAAGAUCAAAACACCAAAUCAACUUCAAGAAUUGGUUGAGAGGGAUGUGGCCAAGUCACUUAGUCACAAUAUGAACAAGAAUAUAGCACUGAAUGCAGCUCAAGUGACAAGGUUGCAUCAAGCCCAAAAGCUCGUAAGUCAAAAAAGGUAGACUCUAGUGAUGAGGGCUCCACCAAUGAAGAGAUGGCCUUGGUGUUGAGGAACUUGAAGAAGUUCAUGAAGAAGAAGUACUACAAGAAAGGUGGUGAUGACAAGAACAAGCCAUCACAAAGAAGAUGCUAUGAGUGCAAAGAAGUGGGCCACUACAUUGCCGAUUGCCCACAAUUGAAGAACAAAGAAAAGGAGGAGAAGAGGUACAAGGAGAAGAGCAAGAACUACAAGAAGAAAUAUCAAGAUCAUGCUCAUGUCAAGAGUGGGAGUCUAGUCAUGAAGACUCCGAUUAUGAAGGUAUAACAACUCUAGCCAUACCCAAGUCUUCAAGGAAAUUCUUCAACAACAUCUCCGAUGAUGAAGAUGACUCUCUGUUUUGUCUCAUGGCAAGAGGGACUAAGGUACAAGAAUCAUCCAUCUUCUCCUCCCAUCUUUCCACCACAUCUAGUAGUACAUAAAAUGAUUUUAAUGAUCAGGAAGAACAACAUAGAGCUUAUAUGAUAAAAGAAUUUGGAAAGAAAAGUUUUAAAGAAAUUAAAAAGUGUAUGGAGAAAUUAGAGAAAAAGAAAGAGUAUCUCAAUAGGCAAGAAGACUUGCUCAUCCUUAAAAAGGAGAGAAACCUUGCAUUAGAGAAGGCUCUUGCUGAAGAAAAGGUUAAGGUUGAAAAAUUAGCUAUUGACUUGUCCCUAGCUAAUGAUUCAAAUGAGAGGAUGUCAAAGAAAAACACUUUGAUAAAUGAAUCUCUAGCUUCCCUCAAGGCCACUCAUAGUAAACUUCAAGAAAGCUUUUCAUGCUUAACCGUCAAAUACAAUGACCUUGAAGUUAACUAUAAUAUCAUUUGGGAAAGCUCCAAAACCAAUUCUAAGGCAACUCUUGACUCUAAAGCCUCUACAAUUGAAGGUUGCUUAAAGUGUUAUAAAAUUGAUGUGCAAGCUUGUGUUACUAACUUGGCAAAGCUAGAGAAGUUGAUCAAAGCAAAGAAUGCUCAACUUGAGAGGUUGAAUAAGUUGGUAAGAAAUGGAUAUCAAGGUGACACCAAGCCCGAGCCUAAGGUUAUAUACAAGGAAGGGAGACGUUCCCACAAAAAGGAUGGGCUUGGUCAUUAUAAUAGAGUCAAGGCAAAUGACCGGAAGAUAAUCAAAGGAAUGUGUAAUGUUCACCAAAGGAGCAAAGCUUGAGGACUUGAUGAAGAUUACACAUGGUGUGACUAACACAACUCCUUCUCAAGUCAAGACGAAGGUUGAGGCUCCCAUCAAGACAAAUCUUGUGAAGCAUGAGACAUCACCAAGCUACACUACAGACUAUAUGGUUACAAUGGACCACAAUGGUAAAAUAGUGGUCAAGUAUGUUGGAGCUUACACUAAGAAGGCCAUCUUUAGAAGUGUGUGGGUUCCAAAAGUGUAUCCAUCUAACCCGCAAGGAUCCAAAUUAUUUUGGGUACCUAAAUUCAAAGCUUAACUAGUUUUGUAGGCCUACUUCUCGGGCAACAUUGUAUGGUUGCUUGAUAGUGAAUGCUCAAAUCAUCUGACCAGGGAGAAGGACUUGUUCACAUCCCUAAAGUUUCAUGACAUACCUAAAGAAAUUAUUAUCUUUGGAGACAAUAGCAAAGGAGAUAUGAUUGGUUUAGGUAAAGUUGCUCACUCAAAUGACAACUCUAUUUCAAAUGUUUAUUUUGUUGAAACUUUGGGGUACAAUUUGUUGUCGGUCUCGCAAUUUUGUGAGAAGGGAUACAAUUAUUUCUUUACUAAUGAGGGUGUGACCAUCUCUAGAAGGAAGGAUUCCUCUAUUGCUUUUGCGGGUUGCUUGAAGGGCAAAAUCUAUCUUGUUGAUUUCUCUAAGGAGAAAGUUGAGCCCGAGACUUGUUUAGUGGCAAAAUCUGACUUGGCAUCGCCGACUAGCCCAUGUUAGGAUGAGGAACUUAGCCAAACUUCAAAAGGACGAGCACAUCUUAGGACUAACCAAUGUUAUCUUUGAGAAAGAUAGGUUGUGCAGCGCAUGCCAAGCCAGGAAGCAAGUUGGUGCUCCACACCCUACCAAGAACAUCAUGACUAUAUUAAGACCAUUGAAGCUUCUAAACAUAGAUUUGUUUGGACCCAUUGUAUACAUAAGCAUUGGCGGUAACAAAUAUGGUCUUGUCAUUGUUGAUGAUUUUUCUCGAUUCACUUGGGUAUUCUUUUUGCAAGAUAAAAGUGAGGCUCAAGGAAUAACCAAGAAGUUCAUUAGAAGAGCUCAAAAUGAAUAUGAGUUGAAGAUCAAGAACAUAAGGAGUGAUAGUUUGGAAUUUCGGAACACCAAUGCUGAAGAAUUUCUUGAUGAAGAAGGAAUCAAGCAUGAGUUCUCCGCUCCAUACACACCUCAACAAAAUGGUAUUGUAGAGAGGAAAAAUAGGACAUUGAUCGAGUCCGCAAGAACAAUGCUUGAUGAGUACAAGACUCCAUAUAUCUUUUGGGCUGAAGCAAUCAAUACGGCUUGCCAUGCUAUCAACCGCCUCUACCUCCACAAACACUUGGGCAAGACACCCUAUGAGAUAAUCACCGGUAAUAAACCCAAGGUGCACUACUUUAGAGUUUUUAGGAGUAAGUGUUUCAUACUUAACAAGAAAACCAAAAGCUCAAAGUUUUCACCAAAGGUUGAUGAAGGCUUUCUACUUGGUUAUGGUACUAACGAACAUGCUUAUCGUGUCUUCAACAAAACCACCGGUUGUGUUGAGGUCACGGUGGAUGUAACUUUUGAUGAAUCCAACGGCUCUCAAGUAGAGCAAGUUGAUAAAAACCUUGUAGAUGAAGAGGAACCCUCAAGUCUAUCAAUCAUGAGGAUGGGUUUGGGAGAAGUAAGGCCUCGUGAAGUUCAAGCUCAAACUCCGGUUGAAGAAAUAAACAAUGAUCCAUCAUCAUCCACAAGAGUUGAACCACCAAGCUCUCAACAACCUCAAAAUCAAAGUCAAGUUAAAGGUGAUGAUCAAGUUCAUGGCAUUGAUCAACGGGGAGAACAAGGUGGGGAAGCUCAAGAAGAUGCUCCACAAGUUGAAAAUGAUGGACCCAUUCAACCUCAAUCACAAGUACCUCAUCCAAGAGUUCAUCAAAGCGUUCAACGGGAUCAUCCCGUUGACAAAAUCAUUGGAAGUAUUCAAAGAGGGAUAACUACUCGUUCAUAUUUAGCAACUCUUUGUGGACAUUACUCGUUUGUUUCCUUUUUAGAACCUCUCAAGGUAGAUGAAGCACUUGAUGAUCUGGAUUGGGUAAUUGUCAUGCAAGAAGGGUUGAACAACUUCACAAGAAAUGAGGUAUGGGAGUUGGUUAAAAGACCCAAGCAAAAUGUGAUUGGCACUAAUUGGGUUUUUGGAAACAAACAAGAUGAACAUGGUGUCAUCACAAGAAACAAGGCAAGGUUAGUUGCACAAGGUUUCACCCAAAUUUAAGGUUUGGAUUUUGGUGAAACCUAUGCACUUGUAGCUAGGUUUGAGUCAAUUCGCAUACUAUUAGCCUAUGCUACUCACCAUGAUUUCAAGCUUUAUCAAAUGGACAUGAAAAGUGCAUUCUUGAACGCCUCCCUAUCCGAGUUAGUGUAUGUAGAACAAUCGCCGAGCUUUGAAGAUCCAUGAUUUCCAAAUCAUGUGUACAAGCUCCAUAGGGCGCUCUAUGGGCUUAAGCAAGCUCCUAGAGCAUGGUAUGAAUGUCUUAAGGAUUUUCUUCUCAAGAACAAUUUUGUAAUGGGCAAAGCCAAUUCUACUCUCUUCAGUCACAAAGUGGAUAAGGAUAUUUUUAUUUGCCAAAUAUAUGUUGAUAGCAUUAUAUUUGGUUCUACUGAUAAAAACUUUUGUGAGGAGUUUAGUAGAAUCAUGAUCAAGAGGUUUGAGAUGUCCAUGAUGGGUGAAUUGAAGUUCUUCCUUUGGAUUUCAAGUCAAGCAAAUGAAGGAAGGGGCAUUCAUAUAUCAAACCAAGUUUGUGAAGGAUAUGCUCAAGAAAUUGUUGACAUGGCCGAUGCCAAGCCCAUCAAGAUAUCCAUGGCAUUAAAUGGUCAUCUUGAUCUUAAUGAAGAAGGGAAGUAAGUUGAUCAAAAGGUAUAUCGCUCCAUAAUCGGCUCUCUUCUUUAUCUUUAUGCAUCUAGGCCCGAUGUUAUGCUUAGUGUGUGCAUAUGUGCAAGAUUUCAAGCCAAUCCCAUGGAAUGUCACUUAAUAGCUAUUAAGAGAAUUUUGAGAUAUUUGGUAGACACUCCUAACCUUGGCUUGUGGUAUCCCAAAGGCUCCACUUUCGAUCUACUUGGCUAUACCAAUUCGGACUAUGCUGGUUGCAAGGUAGAUAGAAAGAGUAUCAUGGGGACUUGCCAAUUUUUUGGAAGGUCCCUAGUGUCUUGGAGCUUUAAGAAACAAAAUUCAGUUGCUCUGUCCACCGCUAAAGCUGAAUAUGUUACAGCGGGUGCUUGUUGUGCCCAACUCUUGUGGUUGAAGCAAACGUUGAGUGACUUGAUUUGUGAGUUUAGCAAGAUUCCGCUCUUGUAUGACAAUGAGAGCGCUAUCAAGCUAGCAAAUAUUCCGGUGCAACACUCCCAAAUAAAGCAUAUAGAUAUAAGAUAUCGUUUCUUAAGGGAUCAUGAGGCUAUGGGAGAUAUUGACUUACGUCAUGUGAGCACCGAACAUCAACUUACCGAUAUCAUCACUAAGCCUCUCGAUGAGCAAAGGUUUUGUGCUUUGAGAAAUAAUUAAAUAUCUUGGAUUCUCAUAACUUGGCUUGACUUGUUGCACAUACUUGAUUGUUGCCUAAAUAGGAAAAAUGAAUUUAUUUGUGUUGACUUUUUUUCAAAAUGUUUGGUUGUUGAUCUUUGGAUCAAAGUUAGAUUAUUGUGAUCAUUGUUAUGUAAUGUUGUUUGUGGCUGAUCACUAAGCGUCAAGUUGUCUCAUAUGUCUACAGCCAUAUCUCUUAAAAUCUCCAAAAUCAUUCAUCUCAAAAUCUAUCUUUUUGGAGAAGUUAAGCUACCAUCAGAACUUCCGAUACCCUUUGGAAGUUUGAGGAAAGUCCCGACAAAGGGCUCUCAGGAAGCAGAUUAAUAUUCAUCAAAACUUCCGACACUAGGUCGGACUUUCCGACGACCCUCGGAAGUUUCAGCAAUCUUCCGACUGAGGGCUCUCGGGAUCGAAUUAAAUUCCCGUCGGAACUUCUGAUUCCUGGUCGGAACUUCCAACAAUUCCUUUAGACCUAUAUAUACCUAUUGGAUACCCUUUCCAAAACCCUAACUCCUCCAUUCUAAACUGCCGGCAUCUCCACCUCUCUCCUCUCAAUCUUUUGAGGGGAGCUCAAGUUCUAUCGGUGGGAUUUCGUUGCCAUCAAGUUCUUUGGAUUCUCCACUCCUCGGAAGAUCCGAUCCACUCCAUUUUUCCUCUAAUUCACGCGGGAAGUCUUCAAGGUAAAUCAUUCAAAAGUCCCAUCACCCGAUCUCUCAAUGUAGAAGGACUUAGAUGAUUUCCUUUAAGGGAUGGCUUCCAUAUGCAUUCCAGAACUCAUGCCUAGAAUCUUGUAACUUUUGGUGGGAUCAAUCUUUUGAUUCAUGGAUUUCUAGGUCGGCUUGAGCCCUGUCAGGCUGUUCCCAGCAGAGCUCAGAAAAGGCUUCCGGUGCGGUAUUUGCUCACGCGACUGCACUGUAGCAUGUCCCAGCAGCAUGCGGAUGAAGGAACGGGAAAAGGAACGACCCCUCCGGCAACCCGUAAAUCCACACCCUCUCUCUCCAAACUCCGAUCACUUCCCACCUAUUCUCGGCUGACGCGUGGCGAUGGUUCAGGAGCAGAGGAAAGCGGGUGAGUGGAGGUGGGCCAGCAGGGUGGCAGAUGCGGUGCCGCAUCCGCAUGCUGCUGGAAGCAGCCACUGCCAAUCACGCGGGCCCCACAAACAGCCUGCCCCUGUUUCCCGAUGGGGAGGGGCGCACUGCUGGGAACAGCCUCAGAAGUUCCAACCCUGGGUCGGAAGUUCUGACACGUGCCAGAACCGCCCAGUUCAAGCUUCUGGUCCUAUCUAUCUAUGCCAUCCUAAUUUCCAUCUUAUAUCCUUCAGAUGGCUUGUGAAAAGAGAGGGAAACAGAGGGCAGCUUCACUAGAAAUUGAGUCACCGCAAUCAUCUGAUUCCAAGGCAACUGAAGAUUCACCGAUUGCUCACCGCACGGGCAAAAGAAAGGCCGUUGCUAAGGCUCCUUUUCGCUCUCGUGGACGAGGGAGGCCAAACGCUCAAGGCACAUCAGCUCAUGGCAAUCGCCCGCGCAUUAAGCAUGCCUCAGCUCCAGGCUCUCACAUGGCAGAUGCAGGAGAGUCUUUGGAAUAUCUUGAGAGGAUCAUUCUUCGGAUGCAGCCCGCAAUUAGAGCAGCGGGCAUGCACUACAAUGGGGUUCGUCCAGUCGACUACACUAAGGGCAAGCGUGAUAUUUAUGCUGAAUGGUGUGACAACCCCGCUGAGUACAUCCAAGAGCAACAAGGGGAUGUUCACUUUUGGAUAAACUUCCAUGCAGAUUGGUAUGAUUCAGUGAUUCUUAGCAAGUCACACCCUACUAUCGAGAUGAAGUCCAUCAAUUGGGAUUAUCUAUUGAACAUGAUAUGCCGGUAGUAGGAGAAGUAGUGAAUGCUUGCAACAUGAUGAAUCUCACCUCAAUCAUGUCCUUCAACCUUGCUUGGAAUGUGGAAAUUGUUGCUCAGUUUUACGCAACCCUCUAUGUCGACCGUGCCACCAAGACUUUUUAUUGGACCAUUCAAGGCAAGUCAUUCCAUGUUGAGUAUGCUUACUUUGCAAGCAUUCUUGGUUUUCCUGAAAAUGAUCUCACAAGGGAAAAAAUACAUGAAGUAGAAAAUGUGCUUGAUGAUGGAGAACUUCACUUCAUGUAUGACAGUGCUUAUGGUGACAUCAAGUUUGGGACUGUGCAUGGGUUGACUCCUUACUAUAAGCUGCUCAACCAACUCUUCCACUACACUCUGUGUCCCAAAAGGGGUGACUCCGACAACAUCUCCAACAUGUCCAAGAAUCUGCUUGCUAGGAUGGCUCCCAACAAGAAUGAGUUUAGUAUCUUUGACUUCAUUUGGGAGGAAAUCAUCAUCUGCUCUGUUUCACCAAAGAAAGGUUGUCACUAUGCACCAUACAUUUUUGCCAUGAUCAAAGAAGUGACAGGUGUAAAUAUCUUGACCGACAAGAGCCAUCAAGUAUACAAGCCUAAGAAAGAUCAACUUGAGUGACUUCUCAAGCUUGGAGCUCAUGCACCUCGCCACUCCGCUCAAGGACCAUCACAUGCCCCAUCUAGCUCUCAUGGUCCAUCUAGCUCCCAAGGUCCCUCAAGCUCCCAUGGUCCGCCUCCUAAUGCCCCAAAGAAAAAGGAAUUCUAAGUUUCAUCUCUCAAGGUUUGUUUGCAUACUUCAACGUGGGCCGUCACAACGCCCAAGAAAUUUAUGCUCAUUGGAAGUAUGUGGAUGAGGAACUCUUGAAGAUGGAGGAAAGGUAAAAGGUUCUUAUGGCAAAGAAUGACAUGCCUCACUCUUCGAUUCGUGCUCCAAUGGACUUCCCUCCCCUCCAACUUUCUACAACCCUUGGGAGGAGCUUGGCAGCUCAUCUAUGAUGUUUGGUGCUCCUCAAGUGGAUGAAGAUGAUAUUGAGGAGGAUUUGGGCGGCCUUGAGGAGACGGAUGAAGAGGAAGACGACGACGUGCCUGCAGCCAACACACCCACGGAUGAAGAAGAAGAUGAUGAUGACGAUGAUGAGGAUGAUGAGUGAUGGAUAUGGAAGGGCCUCUCCUUUUUUGAGCUUGAUGCCAAAGGGGGAGUAAGCUCACCAUAGGCCAUAUGUGGAUGUUGGGCUUUAUCUAUCUAUCUAGCAUCUAUUAGAUUUGAACCUUGAACUCUAAGUGCUUGUGGACAAAUGAGACUUGUAUUUGUGUUAUGUGUGGUGGUGUGCCAAGUGAGAUUUGAUUUAUAAAUUUGUAAGACUUAUUCAUGACUUGCUAUGCUCGUGUGAUCUUAGAACCUAUGGUUUAUCUGAUGAUCAUGACUUGGUGUUCGUUCAUUUCCACUUUCUUGUUGUGAUAUAAAUUGUCAUAUGCAUCAUAUUGAUAUUCAUCACACUUUGCACCCCACGAAUGCUUUGAUAUAGAGGAAACUCUUUUAAUAUGUGCAAAUGGCAUGUGAGGCCAUUUUUUAUUUCAUCAUGAAGAGUGCACAUAUUAAGGGGGAGUUCUACUAUAUGUCUUGGUCCAUUAUUUGUUUGUGAGCCUUAAUUGUGUUGUCAUCAAUCACCAAAAAGGGGGAGAUUAAAAGUGCAUUUGGCCCUCUAAGUGGGUUUUGGUGUUGAUGACAUACAAAAUUAAGGAGCUAAUGAGAUUGUCAAGCUUUGGACAGGUUAAAACUCAGUGAAAUGAAAUAUAUGCGUAAGAAGAUGCCAAUUUUCUUGAUAGACGGUGAUGGAGCUUAAAAGAAGAUCUUUAUUUAUUUCCUAUUUUGAAUUUGAGUAUAGGAAACACCGUACUAUUAAGAGGGAUGCGAAGAAAUGACUUGAAGAUGUCAAAGUACUUAAUUGAGAUGUUAACUACCCAAGAGAGACACAAAACCAUACACUUGUGCACUUAGUUUCCUCACUGAAUCAGUGUAUGUCGGAAGUUCCGACCAUGGGUCGGAAUUUCCGACACCUAUCGGAAGUUGGUUAAUAGUUCCGACAGGAGGUCCUCGGCCAGCAGUUUUUAAUGGGGUCAAAAGUUCUGACCCUAUGUCAGAUGUUCCGACAAUCACUUAACCAACACACUAACGGCUAGUUUUUGGGGCUCGGGUAUUUAUACCCUUCAGCCCCCCUCCUCACUUGCUGCUGAUUUUUCACGAACACAACACCUCCACAAGCUCCAAAUCUUUCUCCCCAAUCCCUCCAAGAGCUAAUUCUUGAGUAGAUUUGAGCUAGAGCUUGGGCGAGAGCAAGAUUGAGGUAUGACGCUUGAGCAUUUAAGUGAGAAGGCAGCCACAUUCAUCUCAUGAGCACUUGAAGCAUUUUCAUCCAUCGAUUCGCGUUUGUUACUCUUGAAGCUUGUUUCGAGAAGGUUCGGCAUCGCCCGGUUGAGCGUCCUCUCGUGUUUGUGCAUCCCGGGGAGUUUGUAUUACCUAUUCUUUAUGAAUUUGAUAGUAAGUGACUCAAUCCUUCUUUGUGGUUGAUUGAGUGAGGUAAAGGGUUAGUGGAAGACCCGGCUCUUUGUGAGCAAUCGAGACGUAGCUUCCUUAGUGGGAGUAAACUUCGGGAAUAAAUCUCUUUUGUCUUGUGCUUAUUGCUUUUAUUUAGUUCUAGUUGACCUACAGUUGUUUUGUGCUGAUCUAUGUACUCAAGUUGUUGUGCUUGCCAUGUUCACUUGCAGAAGUCUCCUAGCAUCACUAUGCAACCUUUGAUUCAGUCAGGUUCUGUAAUUUCGAGUUUACUUUUGAAUUUCGUGAAAAGAACUUCAUUUAGUCGGAAGUUCCGAUCAGGUGUGGGAAGUUCCGAUCAGGUGUCGGAAGUUCCGGUCCAUCAGUACUUCCUACACUAUGUCGGAAGUUCCAACAUAUUUAAUUGUUGCGAAGAAUUUUUUAGAUUUUUUACAGAUACGCCUAUUCAUCCCCCCUAGGCAUCACCAAUAUCCUUUCAGACUUCUAAGCUUGUAUCUAGCUAGGAUAUCUGUAACCAUAUCCCCCUCAGACUAUAUAAGGAAGGCAGGGACCCCUCCAACACACAAUCAUUUAAGGCAAUACAAACCACCGCACAAGACGUAGGAUAUUAUGCUUUUAGCAGCUUGAACCUGUCUAAAGUUUUGUGUUCCUUGCACCUUUGAGUUCCAGGUCUCGGCGACACCCCACCUACAACCUACCACCUCGGGGGUAUCCCUCGGUGGACUUGGCGGUAAAACACCGACAGCUGGCGCGCCAAGUAGAGGUGCUCGUCGAAGAUCCACCGGCGAGCUCAAUGGCAUCAUUCAACCUCACCGUCGCAUUGGAAGAAGGCGCGGCUUUCGUCCUUGGCUUCUAGAUCUGCAUCGCCAAUGGCUCUAGUGGCUUCAACAGCCACCUCGCUAAACCCUGGGGAUUCGGAGGCAUCAACGAUGAACUCGGCGACAAUCUCGGCAAAAUCCAAAUUUUCGAUCUAAUUGGAAAUCGCGAGAGCGAAUCCGGGUCCAACUCGUGACGGGUCCGAACUCGAGUCUCCGUUCGGACUUCACAUCACAGCCACUGUUUAUCGGGAGGCGCUACGGUCCGAGUUCCAAUCCGCAAUGGAAAAGAACUUGGAUGAUCUAUUUCAACUUAGACUCAGACCUCAACUCGCGCUACAACAUCGACAUGCUACUAAUACUUCAACUUUGAGAGGACGCUUGGUGACCCGCUGAUGACUACUUCGACUACUCGUCUCAACUAGAAAACUAGUCAGGAACAGGCCUCACACUGUCAAUAACUAGUCAGAAUUGACUCCGACUACUCGUACUUCAUCAACAAACCAUCGCAGCUCCAUCGGCGAGCGCUAUGGCUUCAUCGGCAAUCGCAUACUAAUCAAGCUAUGUCAUUUUUUAAUAAAUACUUAUCAAUAAAACACUCCCAAGUCUCCAUGACUAUAUCCUUUAUCUCUGCGACUACUUCCAACCAUGUCGACCAUGCUCCCGACUGUCUAGCUGGUCCGCCCACUACAGAGGCAGUCGGGCUGCCCCCUUUUGGGUGCGCUCCGCGCGCAAUCUUUACCAUGGCACACUACAAAGCCGUCCGGGAGGGUCAACGACCCUAACUUCCGAGUCCUUGCCUGACCCCAUGUUCCUCUAGAAACUCCUGAGUUAACUCAUGCGGUUCAAGUCCCAAAUCGCGAAACCUCGACUCAUCCUGUGUGCUACCUACAUGUAUGCCUCGGUCCGCCCAAGCAUUGUAGUCUUGGCAAGCCGUCCUCUCCGUGAGUACUGGUUAGCAGGGCUAGGUGCUUAGUGACUAAAGGUAAGGGCCACAUGAAGUCCUACUCAACAUUUUGCUAAAGGAAAGGGGAUUUACACACACAUGCACCUUGCAUCCGUCAAGUAUAUGAGUUCAACACAUUUACUACAUAAUGUUUUCCCAUGUCCUUUUACAAUUCAAGAUUCAGCGGUGACUCGGCCAACCCUCAGGCUCGACGGCUGGCGUCGCCGACCACUCAGCAUACCUUCGGUGGCUCGUUUAGCUCCCAUGCUCAGAGGCUGGGCGCAACAAGGCACUUAGUGUGCUUUCAGCGGCUCGUCCAGCUCCCCUGCUCGGGGUCUGGGCACAACAAGGCACUCAGCAUGCUUUGGGCGGCUCGUCUGGCUCCCAUGCUCAGGGGCUAUGCGCAAGAAGAGUUUAUCUUGGGAUAAGAUUUAUUUUGAACGGUAAUUUAGGAUUUCUUUAGGAAAGUUAUUUGUUUAACCAUUUUUCAGGGACGUCAUCCCGAAAAAAAGGUUUUCGAAUUUCUGAGCCAAUUUGUCUAUCUUAACCAUCACAUCAAACUCUUGAUUUAUUCUACAACCCAUGCCAUGACCUUUUGGAUCUUUUUUUCGAACCUUGGGAUUUGGAUUCAAGGUUCAGGGGCUGUGGGACACAUGUCAUCAAUGGCUUAUUUUUCAAAUUCAUUUGGAAGAUAAAGACCAGAAGAUUCAAGACUAAUUUGAUCAUCAGUCUGAUUCUUCGAUUCAAUCUAAGACUUGAGGGCUACUCCAUAUGAAGUGCGAUUUUCAUCGCACCCUAUAUAAAAGAAGACUUAAGAAUACUCGGGGCAUGAACACCUCACAGUAUCGAGGCAGCCAAGAAAAUACUCGAAAGACACUUUCAAGAUAGAGUUUGGAAGAAUUCGAAGACGCCUUCAGAAAUACUCAAAAACCUGCAGUACCCUAGCUACGAAGAGCUCGGAGGCUUGUCAGAUCCGGAGCUACAGAAUUGCGCGCAUAGCAUAGAAUACUCUAGGAUAAGAGAUGGGGCAUAUCCCGUACCUUAUGUCCAUUGCAUGCUAAUGGCAUAAUUAUUAUUUCAUGUGUAGCCAAUUACAAUCACACAAUAAACAUGAUAUUUCUUUUAAGAUAUAUUUGCAAUAUAUGUUACCUCAUUACAAUCACACAAUAAGCUAUAGUCCUUGAUCUUGCCAACAUGGCAUAAUAGGCUCAUAGUGUAUAUGUGAUCGUACGUACACACAAUUCACAAGUUCAUGUAUCCAUUUGCAUGUUUUGCAACUUAUUAGACUAAUAAGAUACGAUGGCUGCAAUUUUUUAAAUACACAGUACAACUCAUACACUCACAACGUAGCACGCUCAUCCCUAUGAACACAUAUACGCAAACUCUAUCCCUAUGAGCAUCUUUUAAGACUGAGCCGGUAAAUUCUCAAGAUUGAUGAAGUCAUCACAGGCGCCUCGCUGUCAAUAGGUACGUCGCCUGCCACUGAAAAGCUUGGUUUGAUCAAGCUGCUGAGUAUUGGAAACAAGCUAUAGCGCUUACUCCGGGAAAUUCUAUUGAAGCACAGAACUGGUUGAAGAUUAUGAAGCGCUUUGAAUUUGAAUAAGACCACUCUCCAUUUUCAUAAAAUAGGUGGUUUGGUUGUUGAUCCAUUAAUCAAAUAAUUUAUGUAAGAAGAUCAAAUGAAGAAUUUCAUUAUAUCCCUUUCUUCUACCUUCGAUUUUCUAUCAUAUUUCAUAAGGAUAAACAAUAGGGAUAGGCUCUGGAACAGAAGUAAUAAAGCACAUAAAAGGUGGCAAUCUAAAUAUUCCUACCUAAUAUAUCAGGACGGUCGUUUUAAUAAUUCUAAUGAGUUAUCUUGGAAUUUGGAAUCGCAUAAAAAAAUCUAUAUUAUGCUCACUCAAGCAAAGUAGAUGUAGAUAGGGGCUUAUACCCUCAAAAAAAUACACUAGCUUCUUAAAUGAAAAUGUAAAAAAAAAGAUUUUUUGUUACGUCGGGAAAUAAUUUUCCAGAAGAACCAAUGUCCGUUAGGCACCUAAUCCUUAUGUCAUAAUAGAUCCGAACACUUGCCUCGGAUUGACUUCAAUAUAUAAUUGCUCCAGUGAAUAACUAAAAAAAAUAGAAGGACGGUAGAUAGUAAAGAAAAGGACAAAUCAUAAUAUCUAUCUUUCAAAGAUUCAAUAAAAAGAUAGUUGGCGGGUCUCUUUGUAUGUCUUGUCCGGAAAGAGGAGGACUUAAUGAUUAUUCGUUCGCCGGAACCAGAAGUUCAAAUUGUUGUGGAUAGGGAUCCUGUAAAAACAUCUUUUGAGGAAUGGGCCAGACCCGGGCAUUUCUCAAGAACAAUAGCUAAGGGUCCCGAUACUACCACUUGGAUCUGGAACCUACAUGCUGAUGCUCACGAUUUCGAUAGUCAUACCGGUGAUUUGGAGGAGAUCUCCUGAAAAGUCUUUAGUGCUCACUUCGGUCAACUCUCCAUUAUCUUUCUUUGGUUGAGUGGCAUGUACUUCCACGGUGCCCGUUUUUCCAAUUAUGAAUCAUGGCUAAGCGAUCCUACUCACAUUGGACCCAGUGCUCAGGUAGUUUGGCCAAUAGUAGGGCAAGAAAUUUUGAAUGGUGAUGUAGGCGGGGGUUUCCGAGGAAUCCAAAUAACCUCUGGGUUUUUUCAGAUUUGGCGAGCAUCCGGAAUAACUAGUGAAUUACAACUCUAUUGUACCGCAAUCGGUGCAUUGAUUUUUGCAUCGUUAAUGCUUUUUGCUGGUUGGUUCCAUUAUCACAAAGCUGCUCCCAAAUUGGCCUGGUUCCAAGAUGUAGAAUCCAUGUUGAAUCACCACUUAGCAGGGUAAUUAGGACUUGGGUCUCUUUCUUGGGCGGGACACCAAAUCCAUGUAUCUUUACCGAUUAAACAAUUUCUCGACGCUGGGGUUGAUCCUAAAGAGAUACCACUUCCUCAUGAAUUUAUCUUGAAUCGUGACCUUUUGGCUCAACUUUAUCCUAGUUUUGCCGAAGGAGCAACCCCCUUUUUCACCUUGAAUUGAUCCAAAUAUGCAGAAUUUCUUAGUUUUCGCGGAGGACUAGAUCCAAUAACUGGUGGUCUAUGGUUGAGCGAUAUUGCACACCAUCAUUUAGCUAUUGCUAUUCUUUUCCUGAUCGCUGGUCAUAUGUAUAGGACCAACUGGGGUAUUGGCCAUGGACUUAAAAAUAUUUUGGAGGCUCAUAAGGGCCCAUUUACAGGACAAGGCCAUAAGGGUCUCUAUGAAAUCCUAACAACAUCAUGGCAUGCUCAAUUAUCUCUUAACCUAGCUAUGCUGGGCUCUACAACUAUUGUUGUAGCUCAUCAUAUGUACUCUAUGCCCCCUUAUCCAUACCUAGCUACUGACUAUGGUACACAACUUUUCUUGUUCACACACCACAUGUGGAUUGGUGGAUUUCUAAUAGUCGGUGCUGCUGCACAUGCAGCCAUUUUUAUGGUAAGAGACUAUGAUCCAACUACUCGAUACAACGAUCUAUUAGAUCGCGUCCUUAGACACCGCGAUGCAAUCAUAUCCCACCUUAACUGGGUAUGUAUAUUUCUAGGUUUUCACAGUUUUGGCUUGUACAUUCAUAAUGAUACCAUGAGUGCUUUAGGCCGUCCCCAAGAUAUGUUUUCGGAUACCGCCAUACAAUUACAACCCAUCUUUGCUCAAUGGAUACAAAAUAUCCAUGCUGGCGUGCUUGGCGUAACAGCUCCUGGUGCAACAACAAGUACCAGCUUAACGUGGGGGGCGGCGAGUUAGUAGCUGUAGGCGGCAAAGUCGCUUUGUUACCUAUUCCAUUAGGAACCGCAGAUUUUUGAGUCCAUCACAUUCACGCAUUUACCAUCCAUGUGACUAUAUUAAUACUUUUGAAAGGUGUUUUAUUUGCUCGCAGUUCCCGUCUGAUACCUGAUAAAGCAAAUCUUGGCUUUCGCUUCCCUUGCGACGGGCCUGGGCGAGGGGGAACAUGUCAAGUAUCCGCCUGGGAUCAUGUUUUCUUAGGUUUAUUCUGGAUGUAUAAUUCCAUUUCAGUAGUUAUUUUCCAUUUCAGUUGGAAAAUGCAGUCGGAUGUUUGGGGUACUAUAAGUGAUCAAGGGAUAGUAACUCAUAUCACAGGGGGAAACUUUGCAUAGAGUUCCAUUACGAUUAAUGGUUGGCUUCGAGAUUUCUUGUGGGCACAGGCAUCCCAAGUAAUUCAGUCUUAUGGUUCUUCAUUAUCUGCAUAUGGUCUUUUUUUCUUAAGCGCUCAUUUUGUCUGGGCUUUCAGUUUAAUGUUUUUAUUCCGCGGCCGUGGUUAUUGGCAAGAACUUAUUGAAUCUAUCGUUUGGGCUCAUAACAAAUGAAAAGUUGCUCCUGCUACUCAGCCUAGAGCCUUGAGCAUUAUACAAGGACGUGCUGUAGGAGUAACCUAUUACCUUCUGGGUGGAAUUGCCAUAACAUGGGCAUUCUUUUUAGCGAGAAUUAUUGCAGUAGGAUAGUGGCUAGGAGGAUUUGAAAGGCAUUAUGGAAUUAAGAUUUCCCAGGUUUAGCCAAGGCUUAGCUCAGGACCCCACUACUCGUCGUAUUUGGUUUAGUAUUGCUACCGCACAUGAUUUCGAAAGUCAUGAUGAUAUUACUGAGGAACGUCUUUAUCAGAACAUUUUUGCUUCUCACUUUGGGCAGUUAGCAAUAAUCUUUCUAUGGACGUCCGGAAAUCUGUUUCAUGUAGCUUGGCAAGGAAAUUUUGAAUCAUGGAUACACGAUCCUUUACACGUAAGACCUAUUGCUCAUGCCAUUUGGGAUCCUCAUUUUGGUCAACCCGCGGUGGAAGCCUUUACUCGAGGAGGUGCUGCCGGUCCAGUGAAUAUUGCUUAUUCUGGGGUUUAUCAGUGGUGGUAUACAAUUGGAUUGCGCACCAAUGAAGAUCUUUAUACUGGAGCUCUUUUUCUAUUAUUUCUUUCUACGCUAUCCUUAAUAGGGGGUUGGUUACAUCUACAACCCAAAUGGAAGCCAAGCCUUUCGUGGUUCAAAAACGCGGAAUCUCAUCUCAAUCAUCAUUUGUCAGGACUUUUCGGGGUAAGUUCUUUGGCUUGGACAGGACAUUUAGUUCAUGUUGCUAUUCCCGGAUCCUGGGGGGAGUACGUUCGAUGGAAUAAUUUCUUAGAUGUAUUACCCUAUCCCCAGGGGUUGGGUCCCCUUCUGACGGGUCAGUGGAAUCUUUAUGCCAAAAAUCCUGAUUCGAGUAAUCAUUUAUUUGGUACCACUCAAGGAGCGGGAACUGCCAUUCUGACCCUUCUUGGGGGAUUCCAUCCACAAACACAAAGUUUGUGGCUGACCGAUAUUGCUCAUCAUCAUUUAGCUAUUGCAUUUAUUUUUCUCAUUGCCGGUCAUAUGUAUCGAACUAACUUUGGAAUUGGGCACAGUAUCAAAGACCUUUUAGAAGCACAUACUCCUCCGGGGGGGUCGAUUAGGACGUGGGCAUAAAGGCCUUGAUGAUACAAUUAAUAAUUCGAUUCAUUUUCAAUUAGGUUUUGCUCUAGCUUCCUUAGGGAUUAUUACUUCUUUAGUAGCUCAACAUAUGUACUCUUUACCUGCUUAUGCAUUCAUAGCACAAGACUUUACUACUCAAGCUGCUUUAUAUACUCAUCACCAAUACAUUGCAGGGUUCAUCAUGACAGGGGCUUUUGCUCAUGGAGCUAUUUUUUUCAUUAGGGAUUACAAUCCGGAACAGAAUGAAGAUAAUGUAUUGGCAAGAAUGUUAGACCAUAAAGAAGCUAUCAUAUCUCAUUUAAGUUGGGCUAGCCUCUUCCUAGGAUUCCAUACCUUAGGCCUUUAUGUUCAUAACGACGUCAUGCUUGCUUUUGGUACUCCAGAAAAGCAAAUCUUGAUCGAACCUAUAUUUGCCCAAUGGAUACAAUCUGCACAUGGUAAGACGACAUAUGGGUUCGAUAUACUUUUAUCUUCAACGAAUGGCCCCACUUUCAAUGCAGGUCGAAGCAUAUGGUUGCCCGGAUGGUUGAAUGCUGUUAAUGAGAAUAGUAAUUCGCUUUUCUUAACAAUAGGACUUGGAGAUUUCUUGAUUCAUCAUGCUAUUGCUCUAGGUUUGCAUACAACUACAUUGAUUUUAGUAAAGGGUGCUUUAGAUGCACGCGGUUCCAAAUUAAUGCCGGUUAAAAAGGAUUUCGGAUAUAGUUUUCCUUGCGACGACCCAGGGCGCGGUGGUACUUGUGAUAUUUCCGCUUGGGACGCGUUUUAUUUGGCAGUUUUCUGGAUGUUAAAUACCAUCCCAUCAAAUAAGUGGAGGAUUCAUUAAAUUGUGAAACGUUGCCCUGCCAUAAUGUGAUGUGUUUCCAAUGCCAAUAAAAAGUCUUGAUUAUGGAUUGAAAAAGGAUGUUAUGAAUUGAAUGUGUAAAAGAAACAGUAUAUUGAUAAAGAGACUGUAUUCCAAAGUCAAAAGAGCGAUUGGCCUGCAAAAAUAAAAGAUUUGUUCUUGUUUGUUUUGUAAUUAGAACAAACAUAAACUAAUUGGAUAGAAAAGGAAAGUCGAUUUAUGGAUGGAAUCAAAUACGCAAAAAAAUUCAUUAUUGGCCCACCAUUGAUUACAAGAUUUAGCUUUUAUGAAUCGCUAGAAUUCAAAUGCGAAGAUGGUAUAAUAAUAUGCUAUGAUGACCAACUCCGGGCCCAAUAGAAGCAAGCCCUACGGCCAAUCCAGCAAGAAUUCGAGUUCUUAUUGUUCUUAUGUUAUGGUAUGAAUAUACCAUACCAAUUCGUGCCGAAUCGAUGACCUAUGUAUAAAAAAAAAGAAGUAAUAUACAGGAAUAAUUAAAAAUGAAUUCCCGGAGAGGGAACUCCGGGAAGAUACAAUAAAUUAAGAUUAAGUGAGUAAUGGCAGUCGUUUCAGUAUGUUAAGGAUAGAGCCUCAUGAGCUACCAAACUGCUCUACUCCGCUCUGUAGGGCCGAAAACAGACAUCAGCGGCAUAUUUUUAUGCGGGUCUUAGCAAAAAAGGAUUGAGUUACAACUCCUCGUAAAAAAUAAUCACAGAAAUAAAUAUUAUUAAAUUUAAGUAAGAAAACUACACUUUAAUAUGGAAACGUAAGAAUGGAAGAGAAAGAAAGAAUCCACAGUUUAUUAUCUUCAUUUUUUUCUUCGCCCCUAGGUAUUCUCUACCUACCCACCUGUGUCGGUUUCGGGUACAGGUACCCUUUUGUUGAAGGUCGUUCGAGCUUUUCCUGGGAGUAUGGCAUGGAACCCUCGAUAAAAGAAAGGGAUGCUAAACAGAUCCAUUUUGCAAGCUCGUUAUUACGGGUAGUUCCUACAAAGAAUCGGACUAAUGACGUAGCCCUUAUUUGUUGAGGGGAAACGAGUCCAAUUUGAAGUUGUUUAUGUUGCUGCCAGUAAAAUGCCCAUACGAAGUCGUCCAUGAAUGCGAAAUCAUAGAUCGAACUGACGAGUUGGCAAAAUUGGAUCCAACUUUCAGGCAUUAAGAUAUGUUUAAGCUCGAUAGAGAAUUUGAUAAGCCAAUGAUUUUUUUUCCGUCUUUCAUAAUACGGUUAACCACCAUGUUAACUAAUCGAUUACGAAAAAUUGGAUCGGAUUUUGCGGUUCUUUUUUCUGCAGUACCUCGACGUGACAUGAGCGUGAAAGAGGUUCAAGAAUCCGUUUUCUUUUUAUAAGGGCUAAAAACAAAUCACUUAUUUUUUUAGGGGCCACCGCGGCUCCUCUCUUCUCGAGAAUCCAUACAUCCCUUAUCAGUGUAUGGAGAGCUAUCUCUCGAGCACAGGUUGAGGUUCGUCCUCAAUGGGAAAAUGGAGCACCUAACAACGCAUCUUCACAGACCAAGAACUAUCCUUCCUAUGGCACAGCAAUCCAGUUUUGCUUGGUCCCGAAACAGAAUUCCUUUUUUCUCUUCUUUGUUCCCGCCCCAUAGUAAGACGGGUAGUUAUGAACCCUGUGGACCACCCCCAUGGGGGCGGUGAAGGGAAAGCCCCCAUUGGUAGAAAAGAAUGUAUUCUGUUUCUUUCAUAACGGAUUAUCCACUAUUCGAUUUUCUAUUUAUUAGAUAUUAUUUUAUGCUAAUCAAUUUAAUUCCUUAAAGGGAAAAGUUGGAUUCAAAUAAAACUUUUAACUAAAAAAAGGGAUAGAUUUUGCAUAUACUUAUCCUUGUAUUGCGUCAAUAUGAGAAUAUCCUUCCUAAAUUCUUUAUCUUAUUGAUCAUUAACUUAGGUUUUACCAAGAUCUUAGCCGCUAUUCCAAAUGAAAUUAUUCUACUAUUCCGAAGACA
Molecule: long non-coding RNA, 37278 nt
Filed under: Panicum hallii
Lineage: Eukaryota; Viridiplantae; Streptophyta; Magnoliopsida; Poales; Poaceae
Description: long non-coding RNA (PHAL_LNC000622)
Source: RNAcentral